Salmo salar (Atlantic salmon) is the source of this 54-nucleotide non-coding RNA. NCBI's taxonomy places the organism in Eukaryota, Metazoa, Chordata, Actinopteri, Salmoniformes, Salmonidae. The record is from Rfam.
UGCACGGUUGACUGUAAGCCGCUUUGGAUAAAAGUGUCUGCUAAAUGACAUACU